RNAcentral lists this transfer RNA (73 nucleotides) under Pseudomonadota bacterium. Its description in RNAcentral is "tRNA-Asn". It matches the Rfam family "tRNA". Rfam says of the family: Transfer RNA (tRNA) molecules are approximately 80 nucleotides in length. Their secondary structure includes four short double-helical elements and three loops (D, anti-codon, and T loops). RNAcentral also lists the same sequence under 4 other names. Lineage: Bacteria; Pseudomonadati; Pseudomonadota. The record is from RNAcentral.
UCCAACAUAGCUCAGCCGGUAGAGCAGCUGACUGUUAAUCAGCGGGCCGCAGGUUCAAGUCCUGCUGUUGGAG